RNAcentral lists this long non-coding RNA (546 nucleotides) under Capra hircus (goat). Its description in RNAcentral is "lncRNA (ENSCHIG00000007436.1)". The record is from RNAcentral. Lineage: Eukaryota; Metazoa; Chordata; Mammalia; Artiodactyla; Bovidae.
UGAACAAAAACCAGAGGAGGAAACCCGACCGAGAGGCGGGGCCAAAGGCGAGCCCGCCCCCGCCGCCUGUUUAGAGGGAGCCGAGCGCGCCGGUCGCGGGGAAGGUGAGUCUGAAGGCGAGCCCCUCGGAUUCGUCCCGGCCGCGCCCGGCGGGGGUCAGGGGAAGGCUCCCGCGGGCGGCCGACAUCCUGGAUGGAGCACGUCUACGGACUGACCCGGUUCGUGAAAAGAGCAAAGAUUUGGAAAAGCUGAAAACAUUGUUCAUUCGAUCUAAGCAGAGAAGCCCAGAAAAUCUCGGAGAGGUGUGGUGGCUGGCCCCAGUUUCCUGACUAUGGUAGAGAUAAAAUGGUUCUGGGAUCUGCCCAACAUUUUCACCAAAGUUAUUCUUGUAAGUUUUGCCUACAGGCUAUUUCACUAACCUUUCUAAAGAUUCUAUAAUCCAGAGAUCCCCAACCUCUGGGCCACAGACCAGUACCUCCUGUUAGAUCAGUGUUGGUAUUAGAUUACAAAAAAGUGCGCAAUAAAUGUAAUGCAUUUGAAUCAUCC